GAUGAACGCUGGCGGCGUGCCUAAUACAUGCAAGUCGAGCGAACAGAUGAGGAGCUUGCUCCUCUGACGUUAGCGGCGGACGGGUGAGUAACACGUGGAUAACCUACCUAUAAGACUGGGAUAACUUCGGGAAACCGGAGCUAAUACCGGAUAAUAUAUUGAACCGCAUGGUUCAAUAGUGAAAGACGGUUUUGCUGUCACUUAUAGAUGGAUCCGCGCCGCAUUAGCUAGUUGGUAAGGUAACGGCUUACCAAGGCAACGAUGCGUAGCCGACCUGAGAGGGUGAUCGGCCACACUGGAACUGAGACACGGUCCAGACUCCUACGGGAGGCAGCAGUAGGGAAUCUUCCGCAAUGGGCGAAAGCCUGACGGAGCAACGCCGCGUGAGUGAUGAAGGUCUUCGGAUCGUAAAACUCUGUUAUUAGGGAAGAACAAUGUGUAAGUAACUAUGCACGUCUUGACGGUACCCAAUCAGAAAGCCACGGCUAACUACGUG
Molecule: ribosomal RNA, 496 nt
Filed under: uncultured bacterium
Lineage: Bacteria
Description: partial 16S ribosomal RNA
Rfam family: Bacterial small subunit ribosomal RNA
Source: RNAcentral